This 362-nucleotide non-coding RNA is filed under the name Pterocladiophila hemisphaerica. Lineage: Eukaryota; Rhodophyta; Florideophyceae; Gracilariales; Pterocladiophilaceae. The record is from RNAcentral.
GAGGAAAGUCUGAUUUCUAUUUUUGUUUCAGUUGCUUUUAAUAAAAUAGUAUAAAAAAUAUGAGGAUAGUGCUACAGAAAAAAACCAUUUAGCUAUUUUAUGCUAAAACAGGGUGCAAAGGUAUUCUUAAAGCUUACCAGAAAUAUUGAAAAAUAUUUACUUAGUAAACCCCGCUGAAUAGAAUAAAAGAUUAGGUGUGCUUUUUUUUUAUUUGUAUCUAAGGUUUCAAAAACUUUUUAGAUUUAAAGCCAUUUUUUUUUACCUUGCUAUAAAGUCUGAUAUUAACACUAAAGAUUAAUUGCUAUCCUAAACUGAAUACAUCAAAUUAGAUAUUAUUUUGUUUAGAACAAAAUUCAGCUUAU